This is a long non-coding RNA of Suricata suricatta (meerkat), 134 nucleotides long. RefSeq lists it as uncharacterized. The record is from RefSeq and is a predicted model, not a curated record. NCBI's taxonomy places the organism in Eukaryota, Metazoa, Chordata, Mammalia, Carnivora, Herpestidae. The transcript has 3 exons.
CACAACCCUGUUUGUACUGGGUCUCAGUACCCACCUGGGAGUCGGAGCUCCAAGUAGUAGUUACAAGCUGAAAAUCAGCCUGCUGCUGUUCAGACCGACUCCUAACUGAGAUACCGUCCUGUCUCAUCAACGCU